This 1538-nucleotide ribosomal RNA is filed under the name Klebsiella pneumoniae. RNAcentral's name for it is "bacterial SSU rRNA". It matches the Rfam family "Bacterial small subunit ribosomal RNA". Lineage: Bacteria; Pseudomonadati; Pseudomonadota; Gammaproteobacteria; Enterobacterales; Enterobacteriaceae. The record is from RNAcentral.
AAAUUGAAGAGUUUGAUCAUGGCUCAGAUUGAACGCUGGCGGCAGGCCUAACACAUGCAAGUCGAGCGGUAGCACAGAGAGCUUGCUCUCGGGUGACGAGCGGCGGACGGGUGAGUAAUGUCUGGGAAACUGCCUGAUGGAGGGGGAUAACUACUGGAAACGGUAGCUAAUACCGCAUAACGUCGCAAGACCAAAGUGGGGGACCUUCGGGCCUCAUGCCAUCAGAUGUGCCCAGAUGGGAUUAGCUAGUAGGUGGGGUAACGGCUCACCUAGGCGACGAUCCCUAGCUGGUCUGAGAGGAUGACCAGCCACACUGGAACUGAGACACGGUCCAGACUCCUACGGGAGGCAGCAGUGGGGAAUAUUGCACAAUGGGCGCAAGCCUGAUGCAGCCAUGCCGCGUGUGUGAAGAAGGCCUUCGGGUUGUAAAGCACUUUCAGCGGGGAGGAAGGCGGUGAGGUUAAUAACCUCACCGAUUGACGUUACCCGCAGAAGAAGCACCGGCUAACUCCGUGCCAGCAGCCGCGGUAAUACGGAGGGUGCAAGCGUUAAUCGGAAUUACUGGGCGUAAAGCGCACGCAGGCGGUCUGUCAAGUCGGAUGUGAAAUCCCCGGGCUCAACCUGGGAACUGCAUUCGAAACUGGCAGGCUAGAGUCUUGUAGAGGGGGGUAGAAUUCAGUGUAGCGGUGAAAUGCGUAGAGAUCUGGAGGAAUACCGGUGGCGAAGGCGGCCCCCUGGACAAAGACUGACGCUCAGGUGCGAAAGCGUGGGGAGCAAACAGGAUUAGAUACCCUGGUAGUCCACGCCGUAAACGAUGUCGAUUUGGAGGUUGUGCCCUUGAGGCGUGGCUUCCGGAGCUAACGCGUUAAAUCGACCGCCUGGGGAGUACGGCCGCAAGGUUAAAACUCAAAUGAAUUGACGGGGGCCCGCACAAGCGGUGGAGCAUGUGGUUUAAUUCGAUGCAACGCGAAGAACCUUACCUGGUCUUGACAUCCACAGAACUUUCCAGAGAUGGAUUGGUGCCUUCGGGAACUGUGAGACAGGUGCUGCAUGGCUGUCGUCAGCUCGUGUUGUGAAAUGUUGGGUUAAGUCCCGCAACGAGCGCAACCCUUAUCCUUUGUUGCCAGCGGUUAGGCCGGGAACUCAAAGGAGACUGCCAGUGAUAAACUGGAGGAAGGUGGGGAUGACGUCAAGUCAUCAUGGCCCUUACGACCAGGGCUACACACGUGCUACAAUGGCAUAUACAAAGAGAAGCGACCUCGCGAGAGCAAGCGGACCUCAUAAAGUAUGUCGUAGUCCGGAUUGGAGUCUGCAACUCGACUCCAUGAAGUCGGAAUCGCUAGUAAUCGUAGAUCAGAAUGCUACGGUGAAUACGUUCCCGGGCCUUGUACACACCGCCCGUCACACCAUGGGAGUGGGUUGCAAAAGAAGUAGGUAGCUUAACCUUCGGGAGGGCGCUUACCACUUUGUGAUUCAUGACUGGGGUGAAGUCGUAACAAGGUAACCGUAGGGGAACCUGCGGUUGGAUCACCUCCUUA